Molecule: long non-coding RNA, 257 nt
Organism: Neogale vison (American mink)
Lineage: Eukaryota; Metazoa; Chordata; Mammalia; Carnivora; Mustelidae
Exons: 3
Source: RefSeq, a predicted model, not a curated record
ACUCCUCAUGGAUUCUUAAGCCUUUGGGAUGUAGGCACUGACUAUAUAUGGAACAACAUCUAUAAAACUAAGUGUUCUGUUAGAACAUGCAGAAGUGAGAAUGAGUCAGAGAGCCAGAAGCCAACCAGAAAAAUGAGAGCCGUGAGUGUCCAGACUUCUGUGCCAACACUUCCAGAAGGGACUUGGUACUACUUGAAGGACUUCUCCAAGGACAGAAGAUUCUUUCUAUCUCAUAAAAAGAUGGAUACUCCUGAAGG